UAUUGGGCGUAAGGGCUCGCAGGCGGUUUCUUAAGUCUGAUGUGAAAGCCCCCGGCUCAACCGGGGAGGGUCAUUGGAAACUGGGAAACUUGAGUGCAGAAGAGGAGAGUGGAAUUCCACGUGUAGCGGUGAAAUGCGUAGAGAUGUGGAGGAACACCAGUGGCGAAGGCGACUCUCUGGUCUGUAACUGACGCUGAGGAGCGAAAGCGUGGGGAGCGAACAGGAUUAGAUACCCUGGUAGUCCACGCCGUAAACGAUGAGUGCUAAGUGUUAGGGGGUUUCCGCCCCUUAGUGCUGCAGCUAACGCAUUAAGCACUCCGCCUGGGGAGUACGGUCGCAAGACUGAAACUCAAAGGAAUUGACGGGGGCCCGCACAAGCGGUGGAGCAUGUGGUUUAAUUCGAAGCAACGCGAAGAACCUUACCAGGUCUUGACAUCCUCUGACAACCCUAGAGAUAGGGCUUUCCCUUCGGGGACAGAGUGACAGGUGGUGCAUGGUUGUCNUCAGCUCGUGUCGUGAGAUGUUGGGUUAAGUCCCGCAACGAGCGCAACCCUUGAUCUUAGUUGCCAGCAUUUAGUUGGGCACUCUAAGGUGACUGCCGGU
Molecule: ribosomal RNA, 603 nt
Filed under: Bacillus sp. N11-C
Lineage: Bacteria; Bacillati; Bacillota; Bacilli; Caryophanales; Bacillaceae
Description: SSU rRNA
Rfam family: Bacterial small subunit ribosomal RNA
Source: RNAcentral